AGAAUCUCACACUCAGCCUGCCUCCCACACGUUCCUCUUCCCGCCCAGUCCUAUCAGCUAACUUUUGCCUCUCAGGAUUCAGAUUCAUCUUCUACAGGUUUUUCAACAAGGAAAUGCAUGACCUUUCCAGCCUCUUCAGUCUUCUUCUCGACCUAUGAACAAGUUUUGCAUUUUCUGUCUGAAAGGAGGAUGAAGAGUUUGGCAGAGAAGAAUGUGAAGCGGUGCAAAGCAGGGCUUCUGACAACUGACUUAGCAGUUCUCUUCACUUGCUUGCUAAGGACACGAGUACCUCAACGCCCAAAUCCAGAAAGAGAAGCAGGAAGCGAUGGCGGCCUGCGAAGGACACACCCCUGGACGCCGAGUCCUGGGUUCUUGGGUUCUCAGCCUUCCCGCUGCACAGCAGGGACCUCAGAAUCGUCCCCCUGUGAAUUCUCUCACCCAUAUUCUCAUCCUUCCCACUGUUUUCCCUGCUUCUCCCACUCACCCUAUUCUGGGAAAAUUCCAGAGAUAAACGUGGGAAACCACAGGCUGCACUUCCUUCGGUGCUUCUGCAUUUCCCAGCGCCCAGGAUCUGCCCGCUGGAUUACAGCAGCUCCUGAAGACCGUUUCUGAUCUGCCUUGGGUGGAACUGGGUGUCCACACGUGUGGGGUCACCACCACAAUCAACAUUUCCACCACCCAAGUGUCACAGUGAUAUCAUGGCCACAUGGCCGUCACCACUGCAACCAUGGACGUGCUUUAGACCUGCAUGGGUCAGACUGGCUUUCAAGAAUUGCAUCUGAAUGGAAUCAGUCACGUUGAGUCUCACUUCUAGGUUUGGAUAAUUUUUUUGAGAUUCAUCCAUGUUGUUAAUGUAUUAGUAGAGUAGCUUUCCCUUGUAUGGAGACCACAGUUUUUAUCCAUUCACUAUUAAUAAACAUUUGAGGUAUUUUCCCCCUAGGUUUUGG
Molecule: long non-coding RNA, 947 nt
Filed under: Sus scrofa (pig)
Lineage: Eukaryota; Metazoa; Chordata; Mammalia; Artiodactyla; Suidae
Description: lncRNA (ENSSSCG00050002813.1)
Source: RNAcentral